Molecule: long non-coding RNA, 37825 nt
Filed under: Ananas comosus (pineapple)
Lineage: Eukaryota; Viridiplantae; Streptophyta; Magnoliopsida; Poales; Bromeliaceae
Description: long non-coding RNA (ACOM_LNC019337)
Source: RNAcentral
AAAAGAGCUUUUUUUUAAUUUAGCCCCUCUUGAAAAAUAUUUCACAAAUAGUAAUUAUAAAAUUGACCCUAUUCCUGCCACGCAAGCGUCAAAUAAGUGCUACGUUAGCGGCUUUGGAGGGUUAAGUUGCACACGAUAAAUGAAUCACCAUGUUGACGGCUAAAUAGUAUCUAAGUUCUGUAGUGCAGAAAAACUCAAAUAGUUCCGCAGUGCAGUUUAGCAUAAAUACGGUGAAUUAUUCAUCUUGUCUAAACACGAUGAAUGAUUUAUUGUGUUCAACUUAUACCACUACUUUAGUCAGUUGCUGACGUGGUGCUUACGUCGCGGGGAUAGGACUAGUUUUAUAAUUAUAAAUUUUGUGAGGUUAUUUAUGAAACAAAAAUUAGUGAGGGGCUAAAUGCAAAAGAAGCCUUCCUUUCUCGACUCUGCCCAUUUUUAUUAAAGUUACUAUUAUUUGUUAUUUAUAUACCCACUCUCUUCGUCGUCUCUCGAUCUCGAGCUCUUCUCUUUCCUUUUAAAACCCUAACACUCUCCAUCCCCGCACCAUUUCUCCUCCCCCCAUUUCUCCUCCCCGAUCCAAAUCCUAGCUCCAAAUCCAUCUCCUUCCUCCUCCUCCCCCAACUCCUCCUCCUCCCCUCCCCGGUCCUCUCAUUCCGAUCUCCCUGCGAUCUACGUAAUCCGAGGAUCCGAUUCAGCUAUCAAACCCAUCUGUUUAUCUCGAUCCCCUUCUCCAAUGGCGAGCUCCAAGCCCCAGCGGUCACCUGCCGAGGUCGAGGACAUCAUCCUCCGCAAGAUCCUCCUCGUCGCCCUCGUCGACCCCUCCGCCUCCGGCGGCGGCGGCGGCGGCGACCCCCGCGUCGUCUACCUGGAGCAAACCGCCGCGGAGAUCCUCAGCGAGGGCAAGCCCCUCCUCCUCUCCCGCGACUGCACCGAGCGCGUCCUCCUCGACCGCCUCUCCUACGGCGGCGGCGAUGGCCCCGCCGCCGUGGAGCGCCGGCCCUUCUUCUACCUCAUCGGCUGCUUCCGCCGCGCGCAGGACGAGGCCAAGAAGGUCGCCGCCAUGAAGGACCCGGCCGUGCGCGCCGAGAUCGAGGCCGCCAUCAAGCACGCCCGCAAGCUCGUCGUCUCCUACUGCCGGAUCCACGUCGGCCACCCCGACAUGUUCCCGUCCUCGCCCGCCGCCGCCUCGCCGGCAUCCGAUCUCCUUUCUCUGAUCUUCUCCGAGGUCUCCGGCCCGACGGACGUGUUCGCCGGGAACAGCUUGGCCGGGGACCUCAAAAGCCCUCCCGGCUUCUUAGACGAGUUCUUCAGAGAAGCGGAUUCGGAGAGCUUGGAGCCGAUCAUGGGGGAGUUGUUUGAUAAGCUGAAGCAGAGUGUGGAGAAGGUUUCUGCUUUAGGGAACUUCCAGCAGCCGCUGCGAGCGCUGCUUUUGCUCGUGGGAUACCCGAAUUGUGCCAAGGCUUUGGUGAAUCACCCACAUUGGAUUCCAACGGAUAAGUAUAUAUUGAUCGGGGAAGGGCGGAUGAUUGAAAUCGGAAGCAUUCUCGGAGCUUUUCUUCACGUUAGCGCUCUGCCCGACUACAAGGAGUUCAAGAGUAAGCCAGAUGUUGGGUAAGUUUUACAUUACAGUGUAUAGUUUGUUCUCUAAUUCAUUUUUUAUUUCUAACUUUUAUUAUCUUGCAAUAUUAUCUUUCAAUGUUAUAUUUUUCUGAACUUGGAGGAUGUUGGAACAAAUCCAGUGCUAACUUGUACUUUAUGGCAUUUUUCUGUUGCCAUUGCAACCUAUGAUUUUUGGUUUUCGUCUAUUGACAGUUUCUCGGAAUCAAGAAUAUUUUAGGAUAACGUAUUCCAACUGCAGAGUGAUUUACAAAAUUCACAGAGAGAGAAUUUAGAGGCUGUAUAUAUUAAAGAGCAUUCCAUACAUCUUUUCAUACUCUCCGCCAUUCAAUUUUUGCAUCUACCUAGAGUGAACAAAAGAGAUAUUCUGAACAAGGCAUUCAUGCAUCAAAAUGUGCCCUAAAUUUUUCCAGUUUCUUUCUUAUUAGUAACUAUGAUUUGAAAUUGCCUUAUGGCUACAAGGUCAUCACCUCUAUUAACGUACUCGUUGACCUAAAAGACGGCACUAAAUUUUCCUAAACUUUCUUUCUUGUUGGUAACUAUAAUUUAAAACUGCCUUAUAUCUGUAAGGCCACUACUGCUAUUGAUGCACUCUUAGACCUAAAAGACUCUGUUAAUGCUAAGCACUGCCUACGUGGCAACAAAUUGUCAUAAUCAAUGCCAUAUAUGAAUGGAUGAGUCAGUAGCAGUUAGAGAAUGAGAAAAAUGCAUAUACAGGAUUUGUUGGUUUGUUGAGAUUCAGCCGGCGUUGGAGUCUGGUCAAGUGUUUCCUUUACAAAUGGCUAGGUUGAAUGAGCUAAAAUCUAGGAGCUAAAGUGUUUCCUUUACUUUGCUUAUUACCUACAAAAAAAGGAUAGAUACUUGAUUGAGCAGGAUAAAUAUUCAAUGUGAGAUUUGAAUUGCACCAACUAAUACUUUUUUUUUUACUUGUUAUCUAUGCACAAACAGUCAGUUGUACAAAUAGUCAGUCAAAAAUUAACAUAUUUUAAAAAUGGCACCCUGGAAAACGAAGGGUCUGAAAUUCUUCAUGCAGUUAACUAUUGGCACUUUUUCUUCAUAUUCUCUUUCUUAUCCUGUUCACCUUCUGCAAUUGCUUAUAUCAAAUGUUAUCAUCUCUUUGAUGCCAAUUAAUAGGAUUUGUUGAAGUCUUAAUUAGUUGUGUGCGCUUUGUCCAUAAGGCACAACAAUUGGCUAACAGAGACCCUUCUGAGACUACAGAGAAAAUUUGUUACUUAAGCCUAUUUUUACUGUAUCAAUAGUGCCAACUCCCAAUCCUUUCUCAAUAUCCUAUUUUUAGUCUUAUGUGGUUUUUGGAUCUUUUUUCUUGCAUCUAUUUAAAAAAUUGUUUCUUUUUUCCUAAAUUAAUUUAACAGCCAACAGUGCUUCGCAAACGCAUCAACUCGCCGACCUGCUGAUCUCUUAUCAUCGUACACCACAAUCAAGACAGUCAUGAAUAUACUGUAUGAUGGUCUGGCAGAAGUUUUCCUUACAUUAUUAAAAAAUACAGAUACACGAGAAAAAGUUCUAGAGUUUAUAGCAGAGGUGAUUAAGAAAAAUGCAGCAAGGUCUCGUAUGCAGGUAAUCGUUUAACCUUUUGUUUUUUUUUUUUUCCUUUUGCUUGACUAUAAGCCUUUCUCAAAAACAUAAUCACGCCACAGGUGGAUCCAUUGUUAUGUGCAAGUUCUGGGAUGUUUGUGAAUCUUAGUGCAGUAAUGCUUCGGCUUUGUGAACCUUUUUUAGAUGCAACAGCAUCAAAGAGGGAGAAGAUUGACCCACAAUAUAUAUUUUACAACAAGCGUUUAGAUUUUAGGCAAGUCUUUUUUAGCUAUCUUGUCUCUUUUGUAUUACUGAAUAUAGUGAAAUAAUUGUUUUUCUCUCUAUUUCUAUGGAGCAGCCAAUUGGUCCCUGAACUAUAUUUCUUGUUGAUUAAGUCUUGAAAGUCUUAAUAACUUGUCUGUUUGGGCCAAACAGUUUUAAACUUCAUCUUUGUUCCGUAAGCUAAAUUAGUUAAUAAUACAAAUGUAAAUUAUCUAUUACUUUAUUAUCUUCAUUUGCUUUUACUCAUCACAUUGGAAAAUGGAAUAAACUUGUACAGUAAUACAUCAAUGGACCUAUUUAUCAAAAUAUGAUGAAAUAAGUAAAUAAGUGUGUUAUGGACUUAAUUGGUAACCUGGAUAGUUUAGGGACUAUUGGUAUCUCUAUGAGAGUCAAGGACUAACAAAAUAAUUUAACUCAUUGUUGAUUUACAUGUUUCUUCUCAGUGAGCUAAUUAAAUUUUUUACAUUAGACAAUUGACAGCGAUGAAUGCUUCGUCCGAAGAAGUUGCAGCAUGGAUCGAGAACCAAAGUCAUAAUUGUCGUCUCAUAGAAUCACAGGAAGCUACAAGUUCUGGCAAUAAUAGUGGAGCUUCUUUACUUACAAAAGGCAGACUACUUAUGAGUUGCACCAAAAAAGAAAAAUAUUCAUUUAUCUGCGAGUCUUUUUUUAUGACAACAAGAGUACUCAACUUGGGGCUUAUGAAAGCCUUAUCGGACUUCAAACAUCUUGUUCAGGUGUGAAUGCAGUCACCUUGUUUUUCUUCAGUUUGCUUAUAUAGCUGUAUUAAAUCCUCUUAUAUUGAUGAUGUAUAUGUUUUAUGACUUUGAUCUCCAAUAAGUUUUCAUGCUUUUUAUUACUUAAGAAGCACUCACUAUAAUGGUUGGGAUUUCAAGUCCUGAAGAAGCACUUACUAUUGUUAUUUACUAAUUCGGUGAUGGUAUCUAUUAGCAAAUAUUAUCCUGGCAAACCAAUAUUGGUGUUAUCGUGUCCUGGAGUUGGAUUAUAUAUAUUAUUUACUAAUUAGACUGUUACCUUUUGAUCUACUUCAUAAAUAGUAGCUGUUGUGUAAUUAAAUUGUAGGAGCUGGCAAGGUAUGAAGAAGAACUAUCUACAUGUAAAGCCAUGAGGGAUCAGGGAGCCUCGCCGCAACUUGAGGAAGAUAUAAAACGACUUGAGAAAGUGAUUGAGAUUCUAUCACAAGAUAAACUCUGCUAUGAAGCUCAGAUAUUAAGAGUAUGCUCUUCCCACUGUUCAAGAGUUUUUCACUUUCAUAGUGGCAUUUCGGUGAUAUUGAGUAUGCUUUACCUACUGAUUGAGAGUUAUUAAUGGUGGCACUCCAUUGCUUUACGUAUCACACUCAAAUCCCAUCUUCCAUUUAUAUCUUUCUAGGUAGAGGUACUUCUUUGUUUUUCUUUGUUUUUGACAUUUAGUGACCUGUUUCUUCAAUAUUCAUUAUAUAAUUAUUGACAGCUUGUCAUGUAAUUACUGCUUUGUCAUGCUUGUAUAUUCUGUUUAUCAUGAAUCACCUACCUGAAUGGUACAAGGCUUUUGUGGUUCCAAGAAAGAAGUACCAAGCUAUAUAAUAACUAGAAUUUUACCGGCAAAGAUGAAGACAUUAAAUAUAUUAAAUUAUUUGUUAGCAUGUGUCUCUGAAGUGAAGGACAUGAAGAACAAGUUAGCUAAUAUUGUUUUUUGUAUAUAUAAUUUUCAAGCCCAUUGAGACUUGCUCCAUAACAAUUCGAUGAAUCUAUUUAUACGUAAAAUUUUUAUUCAUUUUACAGGGUAAUUAGUCCCAUGACUCCCAUCUCAUUACGAUGUAGUUAUUGAAACAUAACUAUCUGAAUAAUGCUAAUGCUGCAUUAUACGAACAUAGAAUGCCUCCUUGUGGGUUUUUAUAUGCUGUGGUGAAGCAGUCUGUUCAGAAAUAAAUUUAAUAUAAGGAUAAUAUAUUAAACCUAAGGUCUUAAGAUAUAUACUUUGGAAUUUGGUGUCUACAGGAAUCCAUGGUGGCAAAUCCUAUCUUGUAUCUGCUCCUCUUUCUUGAUUGUGGAUUGAGAUAGUAAUGUCAAAGUACUGAAAUGUUCAGCCUAUUUAUUUAAUAUGGAUAUAUCUUUUGAUACCGGUUUAUCCAUAUUUAUUUGUAUGAGCAUUCAUGAAUGUGAUGCUACUCACAUAUAUGUCAUUUUUGAUCGAUAUAUCAUAUGAAUAGAUAGGGGUUCAGAAUAUAAACUACAAAGGCAAACAAAAACUCAUUCAAUUGUUAUGCAAGAUAAUCGAAGUGCAGAGAUACAAAUUUAAAGGAAAGAAUACCUCAACCUAUACGUACAAGAUUAUCAGACGAUGUAAGAGGUCUGGAUUUUAGUCUGGUAUGUAAAAUCCAAAGUCAAUAGCUGAUGACGCUUGGAUAUAGAACCCUGAUGGGCUCAAUAAUGUUGGACCUAUUAUGGUUUCUGUUUCUAUUACAUAUGAGAGUUAUUCCAAUUGAUUUUAGGUUAACUGCUCAACUAAUGCCUGCAAAUAAGUUAUUUAAUGGGUUUAGUCAAAAUUAUUCACUGAUUUUUUUUUUUUUUUUUCAUGAGAAUAUCAACCUUGUGCAUACUGUGCCUUCUGGGUUGUGUCUUGUUAAUCUGCAUUUUCCUUUUUCUUCAAUACUUUAAUUUUGUAUAUGAUCAGCACAUUUGGGUAAGGUAAUUCUUUAAGCUAUUGUAUAGAUAGUUAUGGUGAUCUUUGUAUAUACAUUUUCAUCAUUAGCGCACAUCACAUGCAUAUGUGUAUCCUUACAAGUAGCUGCCAAUUUAUUGGUUGAUAGCAUGCUGCAUCUAAUUAGUUUUUGUUAUCCGAAGGAUGGUGCGCUUCUUCAACGAGCGCUAUCCUUUUACAGAUUAGUAAUUAUAUGGAUGGUUGAUCUUGUUGGUGGAUUUAAAAUGCCUUUGCCACCAAAGUGCCCAAUGGAAUUUGCUUGCAUUCCGGAACAUUUUAUUGAUGAUGCAAUGGAUUUACUUAUUAUAACUUCUCGGAUUCCACGAGCUUUAGAAGGAUUUGUGCUGGUGCGUUUUCUUUUUUGACUUUUUCUAUUUGAUUUAUUCUUUGUUGCCUAUUAACUGUAGUGCAUAGAUACCUUGGGCAGGGGCAACCAAUGCAAAUAAUGAGUUUUUUUGUUGUGCAUGCAGUUGCUAGCUUUGCAGGGUAUUUGCACAAUUUUGAAUACUUGCAAGGGUUAUAUGGGGCAAAAAGAAUACUUGAAGCAAACUAAACAAAUACCCUGCUGAUCCGUGAUAUUUUAUUAUUCUUAUGGUUUUUUUUGUACUAAUCUUUUUACCAGGAUGACUUUUUGAAUUUUAUUAUCAUGUUCAUGGCAAGCCCAUCUUAUGUCAAAAACCCUUAUUUAAGAGCCAAGAUGGUUGAAGUAUUGAAUUGCUGGAUUCCGCAUAGAAGGUUGAUCGGUUAACCGAAUGUUAAUAUGUACAAUUUGUUUAGUUUAUAUUGUUGAGCUUAAGACAACUCUAUUGUCUAACUAUUGCAGCGGCUUAUCCACCACAGCCUCUCUCUUUGAAGGGCACCAAUUAUCUCUUGAGUAUCUUGUUAGAAAUCUUUUAAAGCUUUAUGUGGAUAUUGAAUUUACUGGUUCUCAUACACAGGUGGGUGCUAUGUUUAACAUCAGGUUGUUUAUUUACAUUAUUUCCGAGUUUUUAACAGCAAAGUUAUCUAUCCACAUGUAGACAUAUCGCUGCAAAAUCUUAAUUAUCACAUUGGCCUUUAAUAGGUUUAAUUAAUAAGCUUAAUAUAUAUAAUGUCUUCAUACCAAAGUAGCCCUCUUUAAAAACUUUUUCUAACAAUAAACCAACUUCAGCCAUGAACUGCGUUGUGAAUGUGUAUGUUCACCCGUGUAUGUGCUUGCGUGUGUGUCUGCAUGCACGCAUUUUGUGCCCACUUUGGGAAUUGGGGUGAUUUGUGAAAAGAGGUUUGGAUUUCGUUGGUCUACUAAUAAGCACCUUUCUUUGUACAGUUUUUUGACAAGUUCACUAUUCGGCACAACAUUGCUGAGCUUCUAGAAUACUUGUGGGAUGUUCCUAGUCACAAUAAUGCAUGGAGACAGGUGAGUGAGUCUUCUUUGUAGCACCCCUAGCAUCUUUGACACAUGCAAAAUUCCCGAAAUUCUCACUGUUUACUUAGCAUGAUACAAGUGCUAUUUCCUUUUAAUUUGCAGAUAGCUAGAGAAGAGGAAAAGGGAGUAUACUUGAAUUUUCUAAACUUUCUUAUCAAUGAUAGCAUCUAUCUUCUUGAUGAGAGUUUAAAUAAAAUUCUUGAGCUCAAAGAAAUAGAGGCAGAAAUGGCUAACACAACUGAAUGGGAACGCCGGCCUCCUCAAGAGAGGGAGGAGAGAAUGCGCCAAUUUCAUUCACGAGAAAAUGUAUGUUCAUUAUCAACUUCCAAGUUCGUAAAGUAGUUUUUUCUUCCAUAAAGAUAUCAAUUGCUCUAUAGGCUUGCGAUGAUACUCUAAGUGAAAAAUGGGAUCAAUUAACACUUCUGCAAAUUUUUGUUUCCAGAUUGUUCGAUUUGACAUGAAAUUGGCAAAUGAAGACGUAGGGAUGCUUGCUUUUACUUCAGAACAGAUUCCUACCCCUUUCCUUCUGCCAGAAAUGGUGAUGCAAUCCUUCUGCGUUUUUUAUCUUCAUUAGGUGCAGCAAAAUUUAACCGAACUUUUAAAACCUGCUAAGUUACUGAAUCCAGGGACGAAGUCCUAAACCAUUCCUGGACAGUUUUUUUUUCCACAUUAAAAUCCAGGUCGGAUCAGGGCUUUUACAAUUCUGAUGAUCUGGGUCAUUGUUUCCUGAUUUCUGAGGGAGUUUAAGUUGCUAAAUAAAUUUAGUUAUUAUUAUUAUUUCAGUUCACCCCACGCUAUUAGUAUCAAUAUUGACACAUCAUGAUAAUAGGUGUGACUUUAUAAUAAUAAUAUACAUUAUAAUAGUGUUGAGCUAGAAUACUUUUGGAAGCAUCACAAAGAAGAUUCUUCCGCGUUUUCGCCUGUCGGAUGCGCUUCGUGAACCUUGCAGGUUCCGAUGCUUGUCCAUCUUAGUGUGCAUCAUAUGCCCACCAUGCUGAUGCGGGUUUGCGCAGAGAUUUAAGGGCAUCUAAUGUGUGCUUCCAAAAGUAUUCUAACUCCAUUGUAAUAUGCACUGGCCAGUAAAAUCUUUGUUGAGGGUGAUGAACAUCUGAAACUUGGAGAGUUAUACCAUUCCUUAGUGUUUGUUAGGGAGGCCUGGCGAAAACUUUAAAAAUGCUUAUUGCCGCUUCCAAAGGUAUUCUAACUCAACUCCACUGUAAUAUGCAGUGGCUAGUAAAAUAUUUUUUAAGGAUGAUGAGCAUCUGAAACUUGGAGAGUUAUACCAUUCCUUUGUCCAUGUUAGUGAGGCCUGGCAAAAACGUUAAAAAUGCUUAUUGCGGCUUACAUUUUGGUUUGAUACAUCUAUUUUUAUACGCUUCUAGUACUGCAUCGUCCUAAUUCCUAUCACUAAUGUUUACUUUCAUUGUUGUAGGUCGAAAGAGUAGCAAGCAUGCUAAAUUACUUCCUGUUACAACUUGCUGGGCCCCAGAGGAAAUCUCUGAGUGUAAAAGAUCCCGAGAAAUAUGAGUUCAGGCCGAAGCAAUUACUGAAACAAGUUAGUUUCUGUCAAAUCUCAAAAUGCUUUUGAGCUUUUAUUCAUCAUCUUAUUCCAUUUAUAAAUUAGAGGUGGAUAUAUAUAUAUAUAUAUAUAUAUAUAUUGUAUUCUAAUGAAGAUUAAUCUUGUACUCAUGUGAAGAUUGUCAAGAUUUAUGUUCAUAUAUCAAGAGGCGACAAAGAGAACAUCUUUCCUGCGGCAAUCUCAAAGGACGGCAGGUCAUAUAAUGAGCAGGUGUAUCCUACAUGCUAAACAAUUCUUUUAUCGGCUAAAUGUAUGGACAUCUCCUAACUGUCUUUCAUUUGGAAACAACUCCCUAGUCCUUUUCCUUUAGGGAUUUGGAUCCGUAACUGAAGUAAAUUGUUUGAUUUUAGAAGACUCUGUCAGAAUAUAAUUGUUUCUGUGAUUCUGUUGAUAAAAUGUUCUUUGAAUUGAUGGAAUACUCGCUGACUUCUUUGAUAGAAACAAUUAAGUCUGAUGAAACUUGACUGAAAUCAACCAACAUGUUGGUAGGCGGAUCAAAUGCAAAAUAUGAGAUUUCAGGAAUCUGUAUACAGAAUGAUAUAUAGUUAGGAGGAGAUUGUCCAUAAUUUUUUUUUAUCUUAUGUGUAAUAUUCUGCUGGCUGACGUGGCCUUUAAAAUACUGCAGCUGUUCUCUACAGCAGCUGAUAUUUUGUGGAAAAUUGGAGAGGAUGGAAAAAUUAUCCAGGAGUUUGUGCAGCUUGCAGCUAAAGCGAAAGCUGCAGCUUCUGAAGCAAUGGAUGCUGAAGCUAUUCUCGGCGACAUACCAGAUGAAUUCCUUGACCCAAUUCAGGUACUUCGAUUCUUCUAUAGGAUAGCACUUUUAUGCACAAACAAGUGUACCGAUCUGUUCCAUUAAUAUAAAAAGGUAGUCCAUGUUUUUUAUUUUCUGCUCAUUUUUUUUUAUCCAAUCAUUUUUCAUGUGAUUUUAUUUGAUAAUUAGUUAAUUCGACUAUAGCUCAGUAGUUUGUUGUUCUUCAAUUUAAUGUGGCAUACCUGCACAAUCCUAUGCUGCAGUACACGUUAAUGAAGGAUCCUGUUAUACUACCAUCGUCGAGGGUAUCAGUUGACCGAGCAGUUAUCCAAAGGCACCUCCUUAGUGACAGUGUAAGUCCUUUAUGUUUUUCUAUAUCCAGUACUCUCAACAGGUCGAGUGUUAAUAACUCAAGCAAGUAUCUACAAAUUAUACAUACGCUUACUGCAUUUUACCCCGUCAAUGUGAAUAUUUUCACAUGUAGCUUCAGAAUCUUAUUUCCUACAUGUUAUAUCCCUAUUCGUACAAAAUAGUGACCUUUUUUUUUUUUCUCCCAAAUGAAGAACCAACUUUCCCUCGUGAUUUUGAUGAUUCUUCGAGUUAAAGAGCAUUUUUAUAAUAAACUUCGUUCACGAGGAUCAUAAAUUAAAGGGAAAACUUCAAAUACCCCCCUUGUGGUUUCACUUUUUUUCACUUUAGUACCUUGUGGUUUAAAAUGUAUCAAGUUAGUACGCUGUGGUUUCUCACUUUAUCACUUUAGUACCCUGUGGUUUAAAGUGUAUCAAGUUAGUACCCUGUGGUUUUGCAUUUUAUCACUUUAGUAUCUUGUGGUUUCGCACUUUAUCACUUAGUAUCCUGUGGUUUAAAAAACCACAGGGACUAACUUGAUACAAAAAUAAAACCACAGGGUACCAACUUGAUACAAAAAUAAAACCAUAGUAUUCUAACUUGAUACACUUUAAACCAUAGGGUACUAAAUUGAUAAAGUGAGAAACCACAGGGUACUAACUUGAUACACUUUAAACCAUAGGGUACUAAAAUAAAAAAGUGUGAAACCACAGNNNNNGGGAGGGGGGGGGGGGGUUUGAAGUUUUCCCUAAAUUUAAAUUCAUUUUUUGGAUGAUUAUAAAUUAUGAGAUUGAAAUGCACCGUCUCAUUGCAGACCGAUCCAUUCAACCGUUCACACCUCACACAGGAUAUGCUAAUCCCCGACACAGAGCUUAAAUUAAGGAUCGAAGAGUUCAUCCGAGCCCAAGAAUCGAGGAAGCGCAGCAAAACAAGCGGCUUACAAUUCUCCAAACCUAACGAGCCAGAUGAUGGUGUUGCUGAUAUGGUCGAGUAAGUUAAAAAGUGCUAGCACUUAUAUUUAUAUGUUAAGUUUAAAUGUAAAAAUAUUUCUUGGGGAUUAAAUCAUGAAUGCCUGGGCUAGAAAUGGAUAGGGGCAACUUGGGGGGUAUCAAUUCUCACAUUUUACAUUUUAAUACCUCUUUAAUCCAAUAAUCCUUCUCCAUUGUUGUGGUGUUGAAGCAACAAAAAAAAAAAAAUUGAUGUUGUAAGGUGAAAAAUUGAUGUUGUAAGGUGAAAAAAAAAUGAUCAUACUUUUGUUAAUUAUUCUGUACUUUACUGUUAUAUAUACAUACAUUUGUAUAAAAUUGUUGGAGCUUUUAGUUAUUUGUAUCUGUAUAUAGAUAUUUCUCUUAUUUCUCUCUUUAGCUUUGCUAAUCUCUCAAUUGUGAAAUUGGAGUUGUGUUCUAGGAAUUUUGUUUUUUUCUCACUUUGGUUUAAAUUUUAGUAAAGUGAAAGGUGCAUUGUUCUUGAGAAAUUGAUUGUGUUUAUUAGACAAUGAGUUGCCCUGUUGAACAUAUUUUCUAUUUUUCUCUAGCAAGAAAUUACAUAACAAGGAAACUGCAAUCUUAUGAGCCUUGCAUUGUGGUUUAUAUCUUCUCCAAUAAAUGGAUUAUAUGAAAUAGUUAUAAGACUAAUUAUUAUCAAAUAAACUCAUUUACAAUGCCUCUUGUGUGCUAGUAUUCUACUGUAGAAAGUUGGGAUGAAUCUUUUCUACUAAAUCUAUAGAUAUCUAUGAGGGAUCAUUGGCUAGAUUACCUUUUCAUGUAUGGGGCUAUAAUUGUAGGAUUUGAAACAUUUUGAAGAAUGUCUAUGUGAAAAGUCUAGUUUGGUAAUGCAGUGGCUAAAAAUAUUAUUUUAUAUACUUCAAAAUUUUGUAAAGUUAUAAAAUUGUAGAAUGCUUUUAAUUUUUAUUUUCCAUGUUAUAAAAGUAUGGUUGCAAUUGCUGAUUAUAUGCUUCUUUGGUGGUAGUUAAAAUUCUUUUGGGCCCUUUGAAGGUAUGAUAAACAUAUUGUUAUUAGUCGUAUCAAACUAGUCCUUAAACCAUACACAUUGAAUAUACCAUAUUGCGUUAAUAAAUGAUUUAGUUUCACUAUAACUUUAACUCACGGUAAUCCUGCAGAGUGCUUGGGGAUGUCAACGGGUCAGGUUCAAGGUGGGUUUUCAAAAAUCUGAAUUUGAAUUCCGCUACCAAAAUUAAAAUCUGAAUCUGAAUCCGUCUGGUUUUAAAAAUUUAUAUCUAAAUUCAAAUCCAAGAAAACAACUGAAGCUCAAAAUUGGAUCCAAAAUUCCAAAUCUGGAAGCAAUCUUCUUUUUUUUUUUAAACCAAAAUUUGAGAUAUAUUAUAUUCAAAUUAAAUUUCAAAGUAUAAAUUCAAAUAUUUAUAUAUUAUAAAUAUAAAAUCGGUUCGGGUUCGGGUUUGGGUUUCGAUCUUGUACCAGUAAAAAUUAUACAUGAAUCCAAAUUUAUCCAGUUUUUUUUAAAAAUUUGUUUAUACUUAUGAACAAAAUCAUACUCCUUUAACAACGAUUAAUCCACCCGGUUCAGAGUGGAAUUUGAAUAAAAUCGCAGAUACCAUACUCAUGAACUGCAUCCUCAAAUUAGAAUUAGUUAGAUACUAACUAAAUUCGGGUUGACUUCGACACCAUCCAAGUUAAAAACAGCAAUAUCUAAAUUGGAAGUGCCUUCUCUUAUUCUUAUUCUUUUUUUUUUUUUCUUUUUUGGUUGGUGCUCCUACUGUUCAUAUUUUUCUCAUCUUAACUAAAGCUAUAUAUAUAUAUNAAAUUUUGAAAAAAUCGAGUAGUUGAUUCAAAAUGGUCGACAGUCCAAUUGAGUUAUGUAAGUUUUACUAAAAUAUUACCAAAGAAGGAUGUGACUUUUUAAAUUCUACAUAUUCUUUAAGUUUGUUUUUUAAGGAUGAAUUCUAUCUUAUAUGUUCUCAAAAAUUUUAUCAAAUUCUCAUAAAUUAAUUAAAAUCUUAUUAACUAGCUAUUCCAAAAAAAUGAAUUAAGAAAUUCAAUUAUUUAAAAGUUGUAAAAGUUGAGGUGGCAAAAUUGAACAUUUAAAAAGAUAAUAAUAUAUAUGGUCUUUAGCUUUUGGCUUGGACGUAGUGGACCAGGUCCAGGAGAAAUUCCUACAAUGGUGUCCACUGGCGUGUCGGGGUGGGGAAGAGGGAACGAACACCUGGUGUGCCACAGCCCACACCUGCCACGUGGCAAAGAUUCUGAUAACUACUGCAGUAUAAUUUAUUCUACUACUAGUUCACAUCAAUAUUUCAAUUUAAAUAAUUAUUAGCGAAUUUAAAAAAAAAAAAUUAGAGAUUCAAUUUUUCUCCGGAAAUGAGAAUCAAAAUAUCAAACUCUCAAAUCUAACACAACAAUAUAUAUAUAUAUAUAUAUAUAUAUAUAUAUAUAUAUAUAUAUAUAUAUAUAUAUAUAUAUAUUCUCUGGUAAGACUUAUCCCUAUCGUUUUGUUGAAAUUGUGUAACUUCCUUACCUAGGCUAAAAAAUCGUGACAUGAUUAUAAAAAAAUUAGACCGCAGAAAUUUAUACCCAAAUGAGUUACCUAAUACUAUAUGCAAAUAAUUUUUUUUUGUUUUGAAUUUUAGAGACAAAAAAAUAAAAUAAAACAAAAUGCGACAUAAAUGUUGAUACAAUUUUUAAUACGACAGCGCAAAAUGACCAAAUGCAAUGCCAAAAUUUUUUGCAAUUAAUAAUCCUUUUUUAAUUUCAGCCGGAAAUUUGUUUUAUUUUAUUUUAGUUUUAACUUUAAUUUUGAAAUAAAUAAAUAUUAUUAUUAUUAUUAUUAUUUUUUAAUUCCGCUUUCCCCUCCCUCCCCCAAUCCCCCAAAAGGAAAUGGAAAAAGCAAAAGCAAAAGCAAAAGCAAAAGCAAAAAGGGGAUGAAAUGGAGUACGAUAACAACAACAGCUUCUCCGAGAAGCAGAAGCCGCAGCAGCAGCAGCAGCAGCAGCAGCGCCACCACCAUCUCCAUCUCCAACCCCUCUCCCUCUCCGCGUGCUUCCGCUCCUGCUCCUCCUCCUUCUCCUCCUCCUCCUCCGCCGCCGGCGACGACGAUCGCCCCCCUCUGAUCCGGUCCCCGUCCACCUGGCUCCGCUCCAAGCCCCACCACCACCACCACCUCCUCCUCGCCUCCUCCUCCGCCGCCGCCGCCGCCGGAGGCAGACACCGCCGCCGCCGCUCCGCCGACUUCAGGUACGACCCCGUGAGCUACGCCCUCAACUUCGACGACGACGACGGCGACCACGUCGCCGGCGCCGACGGCGCCGACCCGGGGUUCCGGUGCUUCUCGUCCCGGCUCCCCCCGUCGCCGCCGCCGCCGAAAUUGGGGGCGGCGGCGGCCCCGCGCAAUAAGGCCAAGGGGAAGGAGGCCCCCCUGUGACGUGGUGAGGUCGCCCGACCUAAUCGGUCGAGAAAGAUUGGAUUUUGAUUGCUCGGUUUGGGGUGAUUUGCUUUGAAUAAUUGGGGGAUUUUGUGGAAAUUUGUUGUUUUGUUUUCUUCGUGUUGGGGUUGCCAUUUGUUUGAAUUUUUCGAUAAUCAUGAGAGAAAUUCUCACAUGGAAAGAUUCAAGUGUCUUAUUCUGCUUCUUCUUCUUUCUCCAAUUUUAGGGUUUGGGAUUUGUUGUCUUGUGGUGAAAAGAUUGUUCUUUUCCCUCUUAUUCUUUCUAAUUGUAUGUAAAUAAAUCUUUAAAUAAUGAAUCAUGUUGAAUGAGAAAAGAUUGUUGUUUGAUUUCUGAGAAACCAAUGCAUGUUCUGGCAACGAAAAAAAAAAAAAAACAAAAAAAGAGAAAAGAUCUCAAUUUAUAGGCCAUUUCGAUCAGGAAAUUCCAAAUUGUUUUUUGUUGUUGUUGUUGUUUUUUUUUUAAAAGCACAGUUGUUUCUUCAACUUUUGUUUGCUUCUGAUUGUGACAUAGUUAAUGAUGAUGAAGAGGUUGUUGCUUGGUUUUUGUGAGAAACCAAUUCAUGUUCUAGCAAAAGAAAAAAAAAAGGAGAAAAGUUCAAUUUAUCGGAAAUUUGAAUCAGGGAAAUCCAAAUUGUACAAAUCCUUGUAGGGUUUCAGACUUUUCUUUUUCUUUUUCUACUUUUUGCCAAUUUGUUUCGUAAACUUUUGUUUGCUGUAAUUGUGUGUAAAUCUUGAAUUAAUAAACAUAUUAAAUGACGGUGAAGAGAUUUUUCCUUGGUUUUGUGAGAAACCAAUUCAUGUUCUGACAAAAAAUGGCUCAAUACAUACGCAAUUUGGAUCAGGAAAAUCCAAAUUGUACAAAUCCUUUUAGCGUUUCAGAUUAUUAUUAUUUUUUUUAAAAAGCUAUUUCUUUAACUUCUGUUUGCUUCUAAUGGUGAGUAAAUCUUAAAUUAAUAAAACUUAUUCAAUGAUGAUGAAGAGAUUGUUGUUUGGUGUUGUGAGAAACCAUUUCUCAUGUUCUGGUGCAAAUAAAAUGAAAAAAAAAAAAAAAACAAGAAGAAGCUCAAUUUAUUAGCAAUUUGUAUCAGGCAAAUCCAAAUUGUUCAAAUCUUUUUACUUUGCAUUUUGCUGUGUAUUGAUUAUCUAUAUUUCAUAAUAGAAGGAAUGCUGGGAGAGAGAAGGUCUCUCUGAGCUUCUGAGGAUUCCGUGUUGACAAAUUUGUUUAAUAUUUAUGUGCAAAAUUUUUAUUUAAAAUCUGUCCAAUGUACAAUUUUUAUUUAAAUAUCACACUUCUUCUUAAUAGUGUCUUAAUAUAAGGCACCAAAUGCACAUAAUAACAAUAAAAUCCAAUUUAUCAAGUGCGUCGAUGAACGAAUAGUUACUAAGUCACUAGUAUUAUGCUUACACUUCGGAUUCUGAAGAACUGAAAUUUUGUGGGAUAUCUCAUAAUACAAAUGAUUCCCAUCCAAUUUCUCAUGAUUUGAGAUCUGAGCAUUGAUAUUUGCUCAAAGUGCCUCUUCUUAAAAUAGUUAGACCAAGGAUAAAUUGGGAGAACAGAUACAUUGAAAUUACUUCUCAUUUGUCGCCAAACAAUAAAAUAGAAUAGGCUUCAUCAACUCAGUUGGACAACAACAUAUUCCAAACCGAAGUUUUCAUUUCUAAUCAAAUUCGACUAAAUUUCAAAAAAAAAUUUAUCUUGAUUUGGUUCCAAAUAGGGUGCCAAGCCAGGUAGCGUAAAUGUAAACUUGCUCCGAGUAAAUGUGAUAUUUGGAAAUGCCAAAGUUUUUUUUUUUUUUUUGAGAGAUAGCUAGCACGUUACCCGCUUCGUUUAUUUCAUUUAGAAAUAAACUUAGCUGGAAAUGUGAAUCAACUAGGAUUCGAACUUGGGUCUCGGGUACCAACCAUCAAGCCCUUUGCCACUUGCUCUAGGGACGGUCGGUGAAAUGCCAAAGUUUAAGACCAUAAUUUGGAGAGCAAUCCAUGUUGGUUCUUCUUUUUCUGAAAUGCACUGCUAACAGUUGAAGGGGCCAUUUUAUGGACUUGGUAACAUAAAAGGUGAUUGAUUCUCAGCGCAGCUCGUUGACGGGGUAAAAGAAGUAAUGUGCACAAUAUGACAGACCCAAAGCAGAUGCUCUGUAUGCAGCAGAGAGAGCGCGAAUGCGGGCUCGAUGCACCAGCACCUAGUGGAAGAAGAAUGGAAAAAGAAAAGAAAUGGAAAGAACAAGCUGCCGCCUCCGCCGCUGGCCGGGAAAGCAUGAAGGGCUCAUAGAAGAGGGCAUUGUUUUUCUUGUAGUACAAAUGUAUUUUCCUCUUUCUUUCUGGUUACUGACAAUUUUCUUGGUGUUCGAAAUUGCUUUUGGAAUGAAAUAAAUGUUCGACUUGGCUUUUGGAAUUGCUUCUCUUUACUCGAAACGCAGAAGCCAGUCGUUGGUGUAUAACAAGUUUAAAGGUUUUAAUCGUGGUGGGUAGGUGAAAUUUGCUUGUGGGCGCACAAUAUGGAAGCCCUAAUUAUAAACUUUUACUUUCUACUAGUUGUAGUGUAAGGUGUUUGUUUUUGGAGAUUUUAAAAGUGCUAUUAGUGUGCUUAUUUGAACAGCUUGCUCUUCAGGAUGAACUUACUUUGAUUCUCCUUGAAGCAGGAUGGAUGUAAUGGUUGAUAACACAAAAACAAAAGAGAUUGGAAAACAUUUUUUAUUUUUUAUUUUUUAUUUUUUAUUUUUAUUUUUUUGCGAGUGAAAUGGUUGUAAUGGUUUGCUGUUAGAGCGUGUUUGUUUGAUUGUCGAAAGUGGAGAGGGAUGAAGUGAUUUUUAGCCGUAGGAUGUCUACUUUUUGUGCCUGGUAGUGGCAGCAGUAAGAAACUUUUGCUUCUAACUAUGGCAGAAAGAUCAACCGUCCCUGGAGCAAGUGGCAAAAGAUUUGGUGGUUGGUACCCGGACCUAAGUUUGAAUUCAAGUUGAUUCACAUUUUCAGCUAAAUUUAUUUCUAAAUGAAGUAAACGAAGUGGGUAGUGUACUAUCUCUCUCUCAAAAAAAAAAAAAAACUACGGCAGAAAGCUUGUAAGUGAUUUUCAUGAGAAAGUUACGUUUAGGCCUACAAAUCUGGUUAUCUCUUUGCUCACCCCUCAUUUUGCUUUGCAAUGUGCUGUAUAUAUCCAGAGAAAUGUUUUUCACAAGGGGGGUGUGGUAGGGAUGUAAAACGGGCCGGGUCUAGACACGGCACGGUUACUGUAGAAUCCGUGCCAGGCCGGCCUGAUCCGGCAUCACGGCCGUGCUGGGCCACUUGAACUGAGCCACAUCGUUCGGCAAGGUACGGCCCGUUACGACUCUGGGCCGUGGCUGUCGGGCCAUCACGGCCCGUCCUUGGGAUUUGAGGAGCCAACCUGAAAAGUUCUAGGCCCUUCCUGGAACUCACAGAAGUUUCCGGGCAUUUAAAAAAAAACUAUAUAUUUUUCUAAAAGUUUAAAAAUUUUAAAUUCUUUUAAAAUUUAUUACUUUAUAUAAAUAUUUUAAUAAAUUUUAUUUCUUUAAUGCUACUAUAUUAAGAAAGGAAAACCAUUUUAAUUUUUUUUUUAUUUUUUAUAUGUAUAUUUUUUAAAAAAAUUAAAGGGCUGGUCCGGAGUCCGGCCAGGCACGGCACGGCACAGGCCGUGCCAUUCGCGCAGGAGGGCCGUGCUGGUCCGGGCAUUCAAAAAAUCUGGUACGGCCCGGCCUAGAUUCUAACCAGCCGGGCCGGGCCGGGCCGGACCGACCUCUGCCCGAUCUGGCCCGGUUGAAUGUGGGCCGUGCCGGAUUUAAACCCCUAGGUGUGUAUGGGCAAAAUGGAGGUUUUCGGGGUCAGGUGUGAAUAGCAACCUUGCAGUAUAUGUAAAGAGCUAAAAAUUAAAAGAUUAAAAAAAAACAAAACUAAAAUUUUUUUUUUUUGCUAAACUCAGUACUCAAAUGUUAGUUUUGAUUCCAGGCACCAAAAUCCCUUAAAAAAAAAUCUGGAUUUUCGGAAGCAUUAAUAUUAAGGAAUGAUUUGUCGAAAAUGCUCGAAAAGCUGAAUCUCCAGUUUGCUCUUCUUGGGGCUUGUUUGUUCCGACGAGCUUUGUAUGGAAGUUCUAUUUGAGUAGAGCUACUUAAAAAACCACCAACAAUCUUUUUACUAUAUUCGAAAACAACUUCAAAAAAAAUCUUAGGAUUAAUUUCAUACAGGAUUUUGCAAACAUAAUGAAUUACAAAUAUAUUUCUACAAACUUCAGCUUUCAUAUAUUGUCUCUGCAAAAAUUCUAAUAUUUUCAAAUAUGGCCUUACCGUUAGAAUCCGUUAGAAAACUUUAGUUAAUCAUAGAUUAAAUGCUUAACCCGGUUAGUUUAUGAGAUAACUCGACAUUUUAGCCCCUCUUAUAUUAUACUUUUGUGGCUUUCGAAAAGACAUAUUUGUGGCGGCAAAAAUGACUUUUUUACUUAAAAUAUAAACAGUUAUAUAAUGGUAACAAAUAAGAAGAAUAUAUUUGAAAAUAUUAGAACUUUUGCAAAAACAAUAUAUAAAAGCUGAACUUUGUAGGAAUAUAUUUGCAAUUCACUCUGUUUGUACGGUGUAUGAAUUUAACCCAAUCUAAUCUUGCUGCAACAGAAACAAAAGGAGCUUCUUGAUUCUUGGGCACAGAACCUCGUUUCAGCUUUUCACCAUAAUAAAAGCUCUGGACCUCACACAUAAUAAGAUCUCUGGGGAUCAAUUCAUAGAAUCCACAUAAUGGGUUGGACAAUGGAAUCGAUAAUAAUAAGAUAAAGGGUGUUACAAGGAAACUCAAUAACAAUCAAUAGUAAGAUCCAAGGGAUUACAUAUAAACUCAAAUUGUCUUAUGCUUCUCCUUUUCUUCUUCUUUGUCGUCGUAAUCGUCAUCAUCAAUCGUCGUCGAGGGUGACGAUGGUCGGGAUUUGGCCGUGAUUGACGAAGUCAAUCUUGUUCAGUCUCACGCAGCAGAGGACCUGCUCCGGGAGCUCCUCUUCCUUCUGGGCCUGCAUCAAGUUUCAAUCCAAAAAGAGUCAAUUGAGUCAUGAAUUCACCAUACACUGGCACAAAUUUAGGGCGCGGUUCGUACAAAAUAGGAACCGGAAUCAAAUUUCAAAAAUGUAGCAAAGUAGUUAUUACUAUCUCCAAGUUAAAUGAACCAAGAGGAAUAGAAAGUUUUCGAUGAAUUGUAGGCAAAACUUACCUGGAUUGUAAGACCCAAAUCAAGGAUUCCGUGCUUCAGACGUUCCCGAAAUGAUUCGAGUCCCUUUCUCGAGAUGUAGCUGAACCGGUGUAUGUCGAGGUCGAUCUCAAAGUAGUUAGGUCCCUGCAAGAAAUUGAAAUUUGAUAGUUACUCAGUUUUAUUGCAUCCUUUGUGCCCUAAAAGGAAAAGAGAAAAAAAAAAAAAAAACAAAUCAUUCUAAAUUUCGCUGGCAUUGUCGCAGUCAUUUGAACACACAUCUUGCUGUUGAUAAGAUAAUUUCCUUAACCUAAUUAUAUUUAGUUUGACUAUUAAAGCACUUAAUAAAUACAAUUAUGAACCUUAAGAUCUGAAAUCUCACAUAUUCCUUUCAGAAACUUAAUUCCUUACCUAUAUAUACCCUUGUAAUUACGAAAUUUCCUCUCUUUAAGAAACUUGUUCUAAUUUUUUUGCAUAUUUGCAGGGUUAUGUACGCACGCAAAGACGAAGACAAAAAGCCGUAGUAGAAUACUAUGCAACAAAAUUUUACCUUGUAGAAGUUGUGCUGAGGACGCGAAAGCACGGGCUUUUCUUUGUAAGAUUGAAUGAGCUUCCUCUCCGCGCCACUCAAAUGGAGAUCCUCUGGAUUAACCACCCCAGCCAUGAUCUUCAACCUUUCUCUAAAAGGAACAGUGGAUUCCUUUGCAAACCCUUUAACCUUUUCAGUUUCGUCCUCAAUAAAUCUCUGCAAGGAACUACAACCACUUAGUUCGGCCUCCAUGAAAAGUGGUUGAAUAUACUUACCAGAAAAGGAAAUAUAUAGUCAUUAGCAGUUAUUUUCAUGCAGUAGUGCAUAAAUAAAAGAAUGAAAAUGGAUUGGAUGGUGAUUGAAGAAAUACCAGUGUCGAUUUCGAUUUCCUGAAUAAUGUAGUGUAUACGAUAUUACGCGGAUUGGAAAUCUAUUUACUUAUGUACGUAUCUAGGUAAAAACCGUAUGAAUAAUGUAUCAGGAAACUAUAUACAUGUUAUCAAAUUAUCAUAUUGUGACGUAUAAUAUUGUAUCAUGCCUAUGGAUGUGGGUAUGUAUUCAGAUACAUGUCGGAAUAAGGAAGCCUAAUCCCAUAGCUAGUAAAACUCAUUUUGGAACAGAUGAUAAAUACCACCUCAUUUUCGACUCAUGGGGAGACAUACAGAUGAGUCAGAAGAAGCAUACCCUUAUCAAAUCCUUGAAAUGUGCAGAAACCUCCUUCUCAUAGCACUCGGAAAUUUUGAAGUACAAGACAAGGCUCAUUCCCUCCCCAUCACUAUCUCCAAGAAACAUAGCAGCAGGAUAAGUAGGCAUCUGUGAUGACAUAAAAUGAAUGAAGCUAUAAAAACUGAUUUAACCACAAAUCUUUUAUUUCUCUUUUUGCAGUCGACAACUUAACCAGUCCCUGGAAAUAUUGUGAUUUGCGCUUUAUCCACACUCGAUAACCAAAAACUAUGGAUAGCCACUUAAUUUAUCAGAAAAUACUGCACAUUUACCCCUCAGCAGAAGAGGAAAAGGCUAAAGUUUCAUACAUCUUGAGGGACUGGAGCACAAGUUGCGAUAUUUUCGGUAGUUUUCUAUAAAUUAGCUUUUCGUUAUUGUAUAAAUGUUCCCUUUGUUUCUACGUACUUGGAUGUUAACGAUUAGGAGUGAGGGAAGCUUCUCGUGUGGCUUGACAUGUGGAAGUUCGAUGUGUUGAGCAAUGUGAUGAAUCUUGCGGGGGCAUAUGAACAAAUCCACGCCAAUGGGAUAAUACGGGGCGUAAUUUGCAGCAGGAUAUUUCUUCUUGUCUCUGCAUUAUAAUUUUCAGGGAAAUACAUAUCAAAUCACAAAGUACAAGGUCCAACAGUUGAUUGUAAUCCUCCAGAGAAGGUAUACAAGUUAUGUUAAAGCUUAAAUUCAUGCCUGAAAUAACUUUCUCCGCGAAGGUUGAAAGUAGAAGGUUCAAGAGCAGACCAGCAACCUGCAGUUGGUUUUUCUCCAGGAGAACAUGGAAUUACAUGACCGGCCCUCGGAUGAUAUAAGAAUUGCUUUGAGGCACCUAUGCACCAAAAAACAUCAAGAUCAUUUUAAUAAAGGAUUUUUUUUUAAAAAAAAACCACUGUAAUUUUGCAAACAUGCACAAAUAGGCCUGCAUGUUUUUUUGGAAUUCAUGCCCUUGAAAGCUGUCUUUAAUUGUAUUCAUGCACCUGCGAGGGGAGUUAAUGCAACAAUACAUUUGCAUAGAUAACCACGGCUGUGGCGUGUUCUAAGCAAGGUUUUCAAGGGUACACACAAGUAGAAAAUGAAAACUUUUAAACUAGGUUCUAGAGUCCAUUAUUUUAUAUAUAAGGUUCUGAUUUGGAUGAAUAAACAGUGCAACAAAAUCUGAAGAGAAUACAAAGACAAUAAAGAUUGUUGUUGUAUUAAUCAAUCAAAGAGAAAUGUAGAUGUGCUACUAAAUGUUGUAAAUGAAAUCCUAAUCAAGAAAGCAGAUAAAUCUAUUCAGAGACAAUCCAUAGUGAAGGCCAAUAUGAACAAUAGAAGAAACUUUUUUAUGAGGCGUAACGAGAAAACAUUGCGUUCCUUUCAAAAGGAAAAUCUUCUAAAAUAUAAAGAUGAUCAUACUUACAAUAUUCAGUUGUUUCUUCUCCAUCAAACGACUUCCUCUUAUACGAAAGCCUAAUUACAGCUGAUUUUCUUUUCUGAGACGUCGGGCUGGCACUAGGGAUCUGGUACAUUUUAUCAUUGAAACUAAGAGACGAAACUAACUUCUUUAACCUUGACGGCAUCUUGCUUUCAUGAGACUUUUCUUCUGUCUCCUUUCUCACUUUCAAACCUUUAAAGCUACCAUACGAAUCGGCUAAAGUUCUUUUCUUUUUUGUCAAGAAAUCCACGUUUCGGCUUUUUAAAGUAGCCUCAUCAGCUUUUCCCACAAGCUCGCAACCUUGUGGAGUGCUUAUCAAUGCAGCUUUGUUCUCAUCUUUAAGCUCAUUGUUGCUUAGCGGCUUUUCAGGUUUACCUCCAUCUCUUUUUAAGUACUGCUCGAUGGCCAAUGCUAUCGGAUCGUCAUUUUGGAACUCAUCAAACUUGCACAUUGCACCGACAAAUCGCGAAGCAUUUUCAUACUGCAUCAUUUGAGUUCCGAUUGCAUUUACGGAUGGAAAGCCAUCUGCAUUUAAAUGGAAAAAGAUCAUAGAAGGAAAUUAGAUAGGCAAUAGUGUGCAAACCAAUUAUCCAAUUGACUAUGCUAUGUUGUUCUAGGGGCUACAAAUUAAGCCCCUAAAGAUUGGCCUAAAAUUCAGUUAUGUCCAAGUUUCAAUUUCACCAAUUUAGUCCUUGAAAGUUUGGUCUGACAACAGUGCUAACGUGGCAUCUUCUUGCGGAUAGUAGAGUAACCGAAAGACCAAGUUAUUAUGCAAAACUAUGGGACUACAUUGUUAUAGCUGAAACUUGAGGGCAAAAAUGAAAUCUUGGGUCAAACUGUCAACGACUAAAUUUGUAACUAACCCAUUUCUGUACCUCCAUGAACACUGCUGAAAUCAUCAUCAGAAUCAGAUUCGAGAAUACUGACAGAGUCGAACCAGACAUCUUCUUGGCAUAACCCUGCAAACAUUUAAGUCACCAGUAAAGGAAUGCUUUUUUGCAUCUUCAUAACAAAUUCAAGUAGUAAAUUGCAAAACAAAAACGUACACUAGAUAAUGAGAAGUGCAAAGCAACUACACUUAAGUCUUUAGCACAGGAAUAAUAUCGUGAACUUGUGGUCAGAUAGGUAAAAUAACAACUGCCCCAUGCUUAGACCGGUGUCCUUCUCUUUAGAAUCUAAAUUGCAGGAAACCUCCAUCAAAAAGGUCAUUUUGCCUCCCUGAAAUAUUGAACCUAAAUACGACAGUAACGACACCAUUAGUUUAUAAGAUGUCAUCACUUUGUCUCCGUCGUCAACGUUAUUCCAGGCAAUAUUUCUCACUUUGCCCAUAACUUUCAACGGGGGUUAAAAGGAUGGUUUCCAAAUUUUAGAAGAGCAAUGCGACAGCCAUGGAAUUUAAGGAGUGUUUCCUGCAAUUUUUUUUUUAGCCUUCUCUAAAUCAACGAGUAAAACACAUCAAUAGCUUUUCCAUGAUUUUAAGUGAAGGAUAUUAUAAAAUGCACAAGCCUAUAUAACUUUUCUAGCAAAAAGAAUGAUUUAGAGAUGGUAUCAAAAUUUUCAAAACUUUAUCGAAAUAAAGAUAUGAAGUGAGUUACCAUGAGCAUCCAUCUGACUAUGAUGCCAUUGCAUCUGAGUGAGGUGGAAAGUCAAAUUGGAGACCUCCGUCUUCCUUCGAGUAGUCGCAUUAGUCUCAACAUGAACAAACUCGCUGAGAGAAAAAUCUCUCUGCGUUUUAUUCGCAUCGCAAACUGCAGAGGAAAUCUUUUUUUUGUGGCAUUUCCUCGACUUGACUGGGAGUUUCUGUGCUCGGUAUUUGCCGUUUGAUUUUGACACGCAGGCACCCAUGGUGAUCGUUACAGCUACAGACUGCUCAAUAAAUAGCGAAAAGUUCUUCAGAAAUUAUACAGAUCUCUUAGAGAAAAUAAAAAGGUGGCUUCCAUGAACCUGCUCAGAGAAGAGUGUGACUAGCCGAUAAAUAGAGAUUUAAGUGAUUUAUCAAUGAUAGAUACAGAUCAAGUCAUUUGUAUGAAACAUAUUCGAUGUAUUAAUCGUCAUUCGUCAAGCUAACAUAUAAAUAUAUUACUAACAAUGAAUUUCAAUAGUUUGAACACAUAAGAAGGUUUUAGUUCAUCUACAAAAAUUUUGAGAAACAGUAUUGCAAUUUUUUUUUAAGAACAUUUAGAGCACUUAUAAAUUAUAAUUCAGGUCCUGAUGAAUUUUUCGUCAACUAAGGAACUUAAGUUUAAAAAGAGAGAGAGAGAGAGAGAGAGAGAGAGAGAGAGAGAGAGAGAGAAGGUAAUUAUUCAGUAAAUAAGGUAUGAUGAUCAUGAUAAAGAAGUUGUAUCUAUAUUACACAUUUACACCAUAUCGAAACUAACCGAGAAUCAGAUGAUGUCAUAUUUUCUAAAAUAGAUGGCUUCCCUGUUUUAUCCUCAGAUAGCAAGUUCCCCAACAACUUUAGUAUAGAAACAUAAUUUACUCACAUGAUGAUUUACAAAUAAGCCCCUCUUCAAUUGGAAAAGGAAAAAGUAACAUUACAAACAGAAGCUGCAAUAGGAGUCAGAAAAUAAUCGCCACACAGCCAAAAAGAUUAAGUAGAUAAGACAUAAUGGGUUAGUCGAAUAACACAGCUCCUGAGUAAAAAUAAAAAAAUAAAAAUCUAUGAAUCAUAAGAUACGUAAUGUGAAUAAUCUAAGUGAUCAAGAAAACAUAAAGAUAAAGAUAUGCUGGAAAGGAAAAUAUUCUUGCUCCAACUUUGCUUGUGCAUCCAGCUUAUCCAAUACGAUACAAUACAUAAUAUGUAAAACUAAUCUAAUAUAACGACUAAUUAGCAUCAGAAAUGAACCAAAAUCGAAGCAGAAACAGCUAGAGAUCAGGGUUUCACCGCGACUGAUGCGCAAAGAUGUAAGUUCGAGAUGAGCACGCAGCUAAAGGAGGGAGAAGUUCCACUCAAGCAACAUUAAGAGACUCAAAAGGGCCCAGCCAUUCCCUCUACAUGAGAAAUACUAGUAGAGCUUCUGAAUCAUCAAAAGAGAUAACCAUAAUUAAUUUGGCUUGUUGGUAGCAUGGCAUUUUAAAAUUAGAAUGAACUAAAAUGAAAAGGUGAAACUAAAAUAUCAGCUAUCAUACUCGAGAGUGAAGGUUGCUAGUUAAUUUAAAAUAAGCAUGUAUGAUUAAAAAAUUGUCAACUACAUGUUAAGGAUGCUGCAAAGAACCUUCUUUACACAGCAACAAAUAGAUUAUAGUUUUCUUAAUUUCUACAGUAACAUGCAAAAGUAGAUACUUUAAUAAAAAAAUUGAGAGCAUUAGAAUUGAAGCAAUAUAUAUAUAUAUAUAUAUAUAUAUAUACAUAUAUAGAGUCCGGCUACUAUGCUAUUAAUAGCACGAAGCACUUGGUGCUACCAAGUUUUCCGCCGUUAUAUAUAUAUCUGUGAGUGUCAACGUUUUUUUUAUUAAAUUACCACAAGCAUUGAUUCUACAGCCAAAUAAUAAAAUGAACAUAAAUAAUUUUCAGUAAAAGAACGUAAUGAGAGAAAUUGCCAAAUAUAGAAACAUGGAGCUUUUUGUUUCAUUUUUAAGAAGGGGUCAUUACUUUAAUUAAUAACAAGAUAAAUUUAUAUAAAUCACGUAUUUACAUUACAUACUAACCCAAACAAAAACUUCUCUCCCUUUGCAAAACAUGAAGGCUAAAUUAUAAAAAAGUCUGCUUACACCUUAGUCCCUGUCUUAAUUAUCCCCUGCAUUAAAAAUUGCGUCAAUUACCUUAUUGCACUUUGCCACCAUCACAAAUAGAUCCAUAAAUUUAAAAAAUUGGCAAAUUACAUUAUAAAACUUCACUAAAAAAAAGUUGGCAUAUCAUAUUAUUUCACAUCUUAAUGCCUAUUUACUUUGCAACUCAAAAAAUAAAUAAAAUAUUUAGAGAAAAGAGAUCUCCUAUGUUGCUAAUAUUAUCAAAAUUGAUAGUUUAUUGAGCAGUUUCAUUCAAAUCAUAUAAUUCUACUGUAUAACUUAUAGGCAACUUCAAUUGCAAACUAAUUUUAACAAAGUUUUAUAGCUGAAUUCAACAAUCAUCACAAAUAGCUGGACACAUUUCAGAUUAUGGUAAAGUGCAGGGGAUAAUUUAAGCAAUUUUUAAUGCAGCUAUAUAAUUGAGACAGGGUUAAAGUGUGAAAGAGACUUUUUAUAAUUUACCCAAACAUGAAUUUCCACAUACUUACGCCCCUAAAAAUCGCCCAUUCUUACAAAAAAUUCCAAAUUCGAAUUUCUCAGGGGCGUGUAUAUAUUUAAAUAAUUAUACCACCCAAAUAGUAUCAUUUUUUUUGAAAGAUUAUACCAAAAAAAUUACCCCACCCCAAAAAAGAAAAAGAAAAAUUCAUCUUUGAACAAAGAAGAGAUCAAAGAGAGAGAGAGAGAGAGAGAGAGAGGGAAAAAAAUAAAGAAAAAAAAGAAACCUGCUUUUUUAAUUUGAUCGGAGGUAGUAUCCCUUCGCGGAGAUUACAUCGGGCGAUCCAUAUAACAAACAAUGUGCGAUGUGGAUCAUAGGAAAUCAAAAAACAAACGAUCUAUGAAAUUAACGAGAAAAAUGGGUAAAAAUAUGGGGGGAAUUGGGGAGGUGGGGUUUCCUCGGAGAUGUCUCUCCCCCACCCUCUCGCUUCGAUCCCGGAGAGGAUAGAGAGAGAGAGAGAGAUGAGGACGAAGAAGAGAGAUAUAAAGAGAGAGAAAGGAGAGGAGAGGAGAGGAGAGAGAGAGAAGGGUCGUCGCCAUUGUUGCUAUAUAUAGCUUCUUGUUGGGGCUUAGACCACCUCGAAUUGAGGGAGAGAGAGAGAGAGAGAGAGAGAGGAGAGAGAGAGAGGUGAGAGGAAGAGAGAGAGAGAGAGGGGGGUGGGGGGCUAGGGAUAGAGAGAGAGAGGGGGGAGCGCGCGCGCCGCCACGUGGAGAAGAGUGAGUGGCGGAGGAGGAGGAGGAGAGAGAAAUAUAUUUAGUACACCGAGUGUAUGAAAUUGGUCCACUCGGUACAUAAUAUUACAUCACGUGAAAAAUAGUAUUUUCUCAUACGCUCGUACACCCGGUUUUAAUAAAAUACUAUUCUCCACGCCACAUAUUAAAAAGUUUGCGCCUUUUCAUUUUAAGGUUAAUGUUAUACGCAUAAAAAGUUCUAACAUUUUCAAAAUAUAUUUCAGUCUUUAGUAUCUGCUAAAAAAAUUUAGUUAAUCAUAAGUUAAAUACUUAAUUCUAUUUAAUUUUUGACAUUUUAACCCUUUAUAUUAUAUUGUUAUGUCUUUUAGAGGAAUAUAUUUGUGAAUGGUAAAAUUAAAAUAUAAACAGUUCUUUAAUGGAUAACAAACCAGAUGGAUAUAUUCGAAAACAUCGUGACUUUUGCAAUAACAAUAUAUAAAAGUUGAAUUUUGUAAGGAUAUUUUUUGCCAUUCACUAUGUUUGUAAGGACAUGUAUAAAAUUGACCAUAAAAUACAUACCUUUAAUAUUUCGUGGUUUUAUUUUUCUCUUUCUGUUAUUCCAUACAUUAAUUUAAUUGUUAAAUCAGUGACAAAGUUAAAGUCACAAGGCCACUAAAGUGAAAACUCGGUAAACCUCAGGGUACACUACAAUGAAUAUUCAAGAAAUUAUAGAUGAGAUAUCUGAAGUUUUUUGUAUAUAAUUUAGUAGAGAUUUAACGGUAGUAAUCACGAAAAGAAAAAAAAGAAAUCACACAAUACUAAAAUAACCCUUUAAACUACAGGAUAUUAAAAUAAGAAAGCGCGAAACCAAAGAAGUGGUAUUUGAAGUUUACCCUAUUAAAAAUGCUACUCUCUGGUCUCUAUCGGAAGUAUGGGAGCGGUAUUAUUAAUAUAUCCCAUAGAGAUUAGUAUUUUAUUAAGGGUUAUUUUUAUACAAGUCCCUGUAAAGAUAUGAAAUAGCAAAUAUAUUUUUAUAAAACUUAAGUUAUCAGAUUUAACCUUUUCAAAAUUCUCUAAUUUAUAAAUAUAUAACUCUAAAAGUUUUGAUUUAUUCAUAUAUGACCCUAUUGUUUGAUUUACUGUUAGCUUUUUAACGGUAAGUGCAUAAAAUAACUAUUUUAUCCUUACAAAUAUGUUAUCUAAAAAGUUAUCUUUCUUUCGCUCUACUCGCCUUCACUACAACAUACCUUAUUUUUGCCGCGAUCGAGAGCCUUGCUUUGGAUGUCGCCGUCACCAUGGAUAAAGCUGAGAGGAUAAGAAAGAUGAAGAAACUCAAUAUUGAAGUACAAAUUAUAUAUAUGUGUAAAAAGAUCAUUUUAUCUCUUAAUCAACUAUAGUUAGUUUUUUUAACGCAUGAUUAUCUAAAUAAUUGUAAUUGAAGAAUAUGUUAUUAUUUGUAGAUAAUAGGACUUUUGAAGGGAUAAAUUUUAUAGGUUAAGUUUUAUAUGAAUAUAUUUGCUAUUUGAGACUUUUGCAGGGAGCUAUACGCAAUUACCCCUUUUAUUAAACCGGGUGUAGGAGAGUAUGAGAAAAUACUAGGAAUGCAAAUGGGAUGGAUCUAGGGCGAGAGGGUUCCCCCACCUUCUGCUCCAUUUUUUGUCGGGACUGGGCGGAUUCUGAACGAGUUAUUUUUUAUUUUAUUUUUGGCUCCCACUUACCGUCCCAUUCGGGACGGUUCGGGAUGGGAGUGGAUUUUGGCGGAUUUUGGUGGAUUGAAGGAAGAAAACAGUCUCCCACCUCCCGCUUCAUUUAUUUGGCAGAUCGGAGCGGAUUCGGGAAGAGUUAUAUUUUUUUAUAUUUUUUGUUCCCACUUACCGCCCCAUUCUGAACGGAUCCAUUUGCAUCCCUAGAAAGUACUAUUCUCUACCCAAUACAAAUAUGAUACACCCGGUCCUAUAUCGUGUAGAAAACAGUAUUUUUAAUAUUUAUAUAUUCAACAUUAUUUUACGUGUGCUGAUUCGAAAUGUUUUGAUUUACUUAAAAUAUAAGCAUAAAUUAAAUAGAAAAAAUUAAAUAACGCGCUUGAUGAAUCUUGCUAAAUUUAAACUUAAUACUAUAUUAAAUUAUAUGAAUAACUAUUAUUGUUUUUUUAAGAGACAAUAGAAAUUAUGUUAUAAUAAUAAUCGAUUCAUCACGAUCUACGUACAAAGUCUAAUUAAUAUUAUUAACAAAAAUAAACAAAAUAUUUUUUCUCAUAUUUUCUUACUGUACGUAUUCUCAACAAUUUGAAAUUAAGACGGUAUUGAGCUUAAAAUCAAAAUCUAACUCAAUAAAUACGUUCUAUCUCAAGCCUAUAUAUUAAAAAUUAGAAAUUUUAAACACUUUUUUCUCACGAAUUUCAUAAUAAUUUUUCUUCGGCAUUAAUUUUUGAGCAACCUAUUUUAUUAUACACAAGAUUUGAAUGGUGAAACUUUUUUUUUAUUGAAAAAAGAUGUAUUCAAUAAGAUAUAGGGGUCAUACGUAUAGAUUAUAUUUAUCAAAUUGGAUUUCAAAUACAAUAUGCAGUGUCACUACAACAGAAUUAGGUUAUAGAGACACAUGUUUGGGACACUUUUGAGUAAGUGUCCCAUUUAUCCUAAAACUUAAAAAAAUAUCUACUAAUACCUAAAUAUAAAGUCCAAUCCAACCAAAAAUAAAAGAUUACUCUACUCAACCCAACACACCCAGUCCAUUUGGCCCGCUUACAAACAGAAAAGAAAAAAAAAAAGAAAAAUCAAUUACCUAUUUUCUUCUCUCUUUACUCAAUCCACUAAAAUUCUAGACGAAGAGCCCUUCCUGUCGUCCUCCUCCGUCACCGCAGCCAACGAGAUAGAGUUUCGACGGUUGCUAAAUGCUUAAAUAAGUAUUGGUAAAUUAGCAGCACUCUUUUAGGUUAUAGCGACACUCUUUAACUGUCACUAUAUACCUAGCGACCCCACAUAUAGCAACACUUUUUAAAAAUGUCGGUAAUUUUAGCUAGCAGCACUUUUUUGACAUGUACCUACAUUUAAAAGUGUCGCUAUAGACCGUUUUUGUUGUAGUGUGUAUCAAAUGUACGUAUACACUCGGUGCAUGUAAUAAUUUUUCCGGAUAAAAUUGAAGAGAGAGAAGUAGGUUGUUAAUGGAUACAGAUACUUGAAAUUUAAUUUGAAACCGAACCCAAACGGAGUGAAUUUAUCCGAUGUUAAAUGGAUAGAGUUUCAGACAUGGAUAUCAAAAUCGAAAAUUCAACGAAUUUGGAUUUGGAUAUGAAUUUUGAUUGUACCUGAUCCGAACACAACCCAAACCCGACCCAAACCGGCCCGAAGUUAUUUUAUAUAUAAAUGUUUAAUAUUGUAUUUUAAAAAUUUAGAUUUAAUGUAAUAUAUUUUGUAAUAUUAUAAAAAGAAAUAAUUAUUUUGAGGUUAGGAUUUUCGGGUUCGGGCUCGUAUUCAGGUUUCAAACUUUUGGUAGGGUUCGAGUUUGGACUUUGGAUAUGAGUUUUUAAAAUCUGACAAAUUUGGAUUCAGGUUGGAUUUCGAAUUUAAUAGUUGGAUUCAGAUUCGAAUUUUUCAAAAUCCGCUCUAAAUUCGACCCGUCCCUGGAGAGAAGGGUUUCUCAUCCUUUAAUUCACUCCUACUAUGACCUGUAUGUAUUUGACUUUCUAUUUAUUUCCUCUUCCUAAUAACUCGAGGAGAUUUGGAGGUAGAAGGGGGAGGGAGAUUUUGCAUGUCUAGACCUCAAAAACUAAUUAUUUGCUCUUUUGUAUUUUGGAAACUAUAAAAAAUAAUGACAAUAUUUCUUCUUUCCAUAAAAGGAAUAUUUUAUGCUGAUAUGCAAAUAUCAGUUGGAGUGCUUUCAAAGUAUACAAUUUUAAUUUUUGGGUCCUUCAAAUAAUAACUCUAAUAAAAAAUUAAAAGUAAAAGAUAUUAUUUUUAAAAUUUUUAUUUUUUUGUAGCCAAACAAAUAAUUUCAAUAUAAGAACGGUAAACAAUCCACAAUCUCUUCCUAAAUUAUUUCUUAAAAAAAAAAUGAACGAAACAAAUAGCUUUCUAUGUCAAAAAAAAAAAAAAAAAAAACUCUUCUCUUGAGCAGCAAAAUUACACAACUCUAGCAUUAAAAUCACCUCCCCCAAUCAAAAACUAAUCAAUCUUAAUAAUUCAACUUACUCUAUUUAUGUCCAGCUUCACAAUCUCACAAUCUUUCGCAGAAAACAAAAUAAAAAAUAAAUUGAAACAUAAAGAAAAGUGCUUCUAAAGCAUCAACCUAAGCCAAAGAGAGGUGCUUAAUUUUCUCUCAAGCAUGCAAAGCACCCUUUUCCUCUGCUUCUAAGCCUUCAUACUGAGAUUGGCUUCUCACACAGCUCCUGUAAAGCAUGCAAGUGACCACAGUAUCAACAACAAUGAGGGUGGAGUACAUGUAACCAAUCAGCAAUCCUUCGCAGAGGGUCGAGGCGCCGAACCCGGGCCUCGCCACUCUGAGUCGGAACAAGGCUUCGAUCGCAACUCGGCCCAGGGUUGCGGGCAAGGCCACGGCGAUUGCGGUCGCGGCGCGCCCCUUGAUGAGCACAAGUGCUCUCAGGAAAGCCACACAUCCACUGCACCUCUCUUCCAUGCAUGCUAUCACUAUGGCCAUGUUGCAUGCUAUGAUUGUGUUGGUGAGCAGCACUGAGUAUAGAAUGAUGCCUAGGAUUGAGAAGGCCAGUGUGAAGUUGGCUGGAGAGAGAGUGAGGAUCUCCACAGUGCUGAAUGCCAAGAAUAAGAGAGAGAAAAUGGCGGCAUUCGCCGCGAGUGUCGCGAAUGCGGCGAAUACGUAGGUGCUGAGGAGAGAAGGGUAGAGAGAAAGCGGCGACAGCGGAGGUCUCCGACGAUAGGGGGGGUUGUUGUUUACGGCUUGGAUUGCGUGGGCUUUCGCGAGGAGUAGGAAGGUGAGGGAGAAGGGGAGGGUGGAGGCGAAGGCGAGUACGGCCUGCGAGAGCCUGAGGUUGAGGAGGGAGAAGAAGCGCGAGGAGGCGGGGAAGCCCGAGGCCUCGAAGAUGGCGUGGAGGCGGCGGGAGACGGCGGCGGAGGAGGAAGAGAUGGCGGAGGAGUGCGAGAGGAGGGCGGCGACGGAGUAGGGCAAGGCCAGAAGGGCGGCGGCCGAGGCGGCGGGGUGGUAGUUCUUGAAGAAGACAUGGAUUGAUCUCCUUAUGAUCUUCAUUGCCUUCCCCAUUUUGUUGUUUUGAGUGUUUGUGUUGAAGGGUUUGGACUAAAUUGUGAGCUAGCCAAUUGGUUUGCUGUUUAAGUUUCUUGUUUUUUUUUUUUUUUUUUNUUUUUUUUUUUUUUUUUUUUUUUUUUUUGGAUGUUGGGUGAGAUGUGGGAUAAGUCACCUGCUGUUCCAACAACUUGUUUAUAAAAGAUAAAAAGGUGGUGCAGUGGAUUUGUUAUUCUGAAUCCACCAAUAAGUUUAUUGGGAACAAACUUUAAAAGAGUGAUCCUUCCUUUGUUUUGAAGCAUUGUACCAAUUGAAGCACCCCUACAAUGCUCUUCCACAAGCUGUGGCCUUUUCUCUUUAACUUUUUAAGUAAUGAAGAUGAGAUGGGUCUAUCACUCUACUCAAAUCUAACAUGAAAUUAUUGGCUAAUCAUGGUCCACCACGUCAGCCACGGACCGUCCAUCUGCUCCCCUUCAUUUGUAACUAUCUUUAUCGGCUGUUGAUAUACUGAUAAUAUAUAAAGCAGAAGUAGUGCAAGAAUUAUUUGUUCAGAAUCUAAAGUAUUUUAUUAUUAGGAAUAGUUGAGUGGUGCCGAUAAAAAGCGGGGAUAAGAUGGAGAUAGAUGACAUUGGCUGGUCCACAGCUGAUGUGGUGGACUUGAUCAUCCACCAUUUUUUACUUGCAAAGUAUCUGGCCAUGAAUAUGGCAUGCAUAAACUUGGUUGUUUGAUUAGGAGAUUGUAACUAUAACUUAUGAUUAAACACAUAAGGAAGGGAUUAGAGGCAUUCGAGUAGCUGUUGUCGUACGAUUUACGAAUACUUAUAGUCCGAUUAGAGACUAAUAAAUUAAGUUGUUCAAAAUGAUUAGGUGUGAAAAGUAUCAUCUUUUAUAUGUACAAGUUUCUAAAAGGGAAUGGAUACCACAUUGCUAUAAUUUAAUUUAUUUACUAGUGUUGAGUUGGUAAACAAUGAUGUAUUUAAGUGGAGUUAAUUCCUGUGUAGCUGCUAUAUCCUUUACAACAGUGUAUGAUUCAUGGAUCUCUCUUAUAUAAUAACUUCUAAAAAUUAAGUUAAUAUUAUACAUUUUCAAAUUAACACUCAUAAGCACACUUAUAAAAGCAGCAUCUGUCACUUUUGAUCAUAUUAGAACUGUAAGUUAGGUACAGUGUUGAAGUCUAGUUAGGUUCAGCUUUUUUUAUGAAAAUUUUAAGAAGGGUAUAAUGCAAUUUAUUGCAAAAUUUUCGGAAUAAAAAUAUAUUAUACUUAUUUUUAAUUAUAUAUAUUGUAAUUGUAUUUUAGUGUAUAGAAUGUAAAAGUUAUUUUAGGUCCUAUUUGAAUUCAUGGAAAUUUUGUUCCUCAUAUCUCUAGAUUACUUAAGAAUUUUAUAAUAUUUUAUAAAUUAAGAGUGUGAUCAGAUGUCUAGAAUUAAAUAUUAUAUUCAGUUUUCAAGUUUUUUUUAGAAUAAAAUAAAUUAUCUCGUAGAUACAAUAUGUACUAUUCAACCAAAUUGUAAAUGUGAAGACAUUCUAAUAAAUAAAAAUUAAAUUUCUUGCUUUCAAUCACAUAAGAAAAAUUUUAUAAUGAAUAAAUUACCAUUACUAACGCAUUCUGAAGUUUAAACAAGACUUUAGUGCAAGCAAAAGAUCUUGAUCAUUUAUUAGCGUGUUUUUAUUUUGGCUAAAUUACAGAAAACUCUUUUAUGAAUAUUCGUUUUUUUACUUUUUCUUCCUAACUUGCAAAAACUAUAUUUUACCCACUCAACAUCUCAAGUUGUUGCAUUUAGCUCUCAUUCGUUAGUAUUCCAUCACUAUUCCGUCCAUUUCUUAUAAUUUAUAUCGAAAAUGUCCUUCAAAAUGACAGAAAUAUAUUAAAAAUUAUUUUUUUUCAUUAUAGAAGAAGUAAGGGUAAUUUGGUCAUUUUACCCUCUCCAUUAAUGCCGUAACCCCCUAAAAAUAUUUAUAAAAUUUUCAGGGCCCCUCUGGGAGGCUCUGACUGCUUCCAUAUUGUACACUUAGUUCAUUUUGCUUAUUGAAUGAAGCAGGUAGCUUGCUACCUUUUUUCCAAAAAAAUUUUUUUAAGGGCCCAAAAUAUAGGCUUUUGAGAGUUGGAGAGAAAAAGUGAAAAAUAGAUAUUCAGAAAAAAAUUUUCUGUAAUUUAGUCUUUUAUUAUUUUUUUUCUUUUUUGUUCUUUCCUUGAAGGAGAAAUUAUUUCCUACAAGCACACUCCCAAAUGAAGUACAAACUUUUAAUGGACCAAGUAAUAAUUAUGCACUAUAGGACUCUUGAAAGGGUUUUGUUUUUAUAUCAUUGCAAAGAUGUGAUGUCUUAAUUAAUUAAGUGAAAAUCAUUUUCAAGUUGGAAUAAUUAGUAGACCAUGGUUAACACCCAAAGUCAUGAUGCAAUAGAAAAGUUAAGAAUUAGGUUGGUGGGAUUCUAAGCAACAUACAUAUAUUUUGGGAUAAGACUUUUGAGAGCAAUACUUUUAGGUAGGUGGCAAAAAUCCAACCUAAUGGUCUCAUAAAACACAACAUUUUACCCAAACAUCUUUUAAGAAGAGCAAUGCUAAUAUUGUUGUGACCUCAAAAUAUAUCCUAAAAUAUAAUUGAUAAUUUAUAGCUUUAUAUUUACAAACAAUUAAUAAUUUAGUUUUUUUUUUAGUUUGCACUUUUGGUCCUCAAAGACUUGUUAAUUUAAUUUGUUGUGUUUCUGGCUCCAAAAUUUUAAAUUAUUAUAAUUAAGUCUCACAAUCUAAUUUAGUUGAUUAAAUAAUAAUAUUUUGCUAAUGUAGUAGUUGUGUGAUAAUAUUAUGUUUGUAAUUUAUAAUGUGAUAAUUAUUAAGAUGUUACAUUAUUACCACAUUAGCGAAGUAUCAGUAUUCGGUCAGCUAAAUUGUACUGUAAAUAAUUCAAAAAAUUUCAGCCAGAAACUGUAAAUUUAAGGACCAAAGUGUCGCACAGCAAAAAUCUAAUGAGGAUUAAAUGAUAACUACCAAACUAUCAGAUGUGUAAAACUAACUAAUUAUAUUUUAAAGUACAUUUUAAGGCAGCAAUAAAAGUUACACUUUUGAGUAAUUAUUCCUAAGGCCUUUGUAGAGAAGUUGGCAAUUUCUAUCCUAAGAUAGAGAAAUUGAAUUAAUUGAAAAAGGUGGACACACCACCCUUCUUUGUUUGCAGAAGUUGGUAGUGCCAUGAAAAAAACCUGCAUAAACUUAUUAGCACACUUAGAAACUAUUAUCUAUGCUUAGAUUCUAAGGAAGAGCAUUUCCCCCAUUGUGGUGGAACACUCAACAAACAAGAUUGAACUUCUCACCAUCUUUUGUCUUUUUGGUUUUUAUUUGCCCUUUAAGUUGGAUUAAUCAAUAAGCUCUAAAGCUCUUAUCUCAAGAUGUGACUACAUAGUCCACUAAUAUUGGCUAAAAUCAUCGGUCCAAAAUACUUAACUAAGUUAUUGGCUAAAAUCAUCGAUACAAUCUUCAGAUCGAUCAAUUCAGACCCAUUGCUGGGUAUAAAUAAGAUUAAACUGUUGACGGACUAAUGGAAGCAUUAUCUGUCAUUAAAUUUGCACCACUAUAAUCGCUAGGUGUUGUUGUUUUUUUUUUUUUUUUUUUUUCUCUCUCUUUCGAGGCCCAUAUUGCCUCACCUCUAUAGCUUAGUUCACUCUUUCAAUGAAUGAAGCAGGUAGCGCACUACCUAUUCCUCAAAAAAAAAAGGUUAUCUGGUGUAUUAGUUGUAUGUAUGAAUUUCGAAGUUUGUAUCCAAUGUAUAAUUAUUGAAGUGCGACAAGCUCCCUUCGGCAUGUCUCCAAGGUAGCACAAUGUGAACUAGGAAGGCUCUUAGAGAUCCAGCAAAUAGAGCAAUGCAGUAAAGAAAAGUGAACUAGGAAGACUCUCUGAGAUCAGCAAGUAAAGCAAUGCAAUGAAGAAUAGUAAAUCUCAGUGGAUCUCCUAACCAGCAAAAGCCAAGAUCGCGACCGAAUACGCCCCUACUUGUGCCAUGCAUGCGUGCAUGUGAUUAGUGGAUGAUACCACUCUCUUUAUCACCUAAGAAAAUAACUUGGAGAUAGUGGAGAAUAUAAACCUUACUGUUUCUAUUAAGUUUCCAAUCUAGAACUAAACUCAUGUAUAGUAACUUGAUACACAAGCUCGAAGGCAAAGUCUAUUCAGUUUUCGGCCACCCAAAAGGCCCAUGGGCCCAAAUAAAGUUACAAAUCAUAUUUAAAAUAAAUCCCAACACACGCAUAAUGAAAAACCACAAGAAGAGAAGGAACCAUUACCUUCUGUAAGGCGAAGAUCAAGAAAAUUAAAGCCAAUUUGAAUGUCGCUGCGGCGCCUCAAAGACGAAAUAAGAAUUUAGGAUCUGAGGACGCCAAAAAAAAAAUAUAAUGAUAGAGAAAGUUAUAACAAAAGUUGAUGUAUAAGAUUCAAGUCAUGCAUCGGCAAUGGGGAGCAAGAGGAGGGAGAGAUUCAAUUUAUAUUAUUGCUUUAUUGUAUAAAUUAAAAUUUGAGAACCAAAAUAUUACAGCGUUAUUGUUUGAGGUCCAAAGUGCAAUUUGUCCAACAUGGGUCCGUACUACAUUGUACGUCUUUUCCUCGUAUGACGUGGCACUAGGGAACGAGGACGCCCCCGUCCCACUGCGUGGGGCCACGUGGAACACGCACCUCCUCGCGCUCCCGCCACGUGUCCUCCUCCGGCUCCCCACAAUUUCCCACGGCACGAAUCUCAACGGCCGUGUAGUUUCAUGCCAUGAUGUCGUUAUGCGUGCGGGGCCCACCCCACUAAUGAGCUCAUUCCCAUAAUCCCAUCCGGGAAAAUUAUUGCGCGCACGCGGUGCAUACCUACAUCUCAUACACCGAUCCAUUUAAAAUCAAUCUCCGCGGCCUUAAAAUCAAAUUUUGAUUUAUCCAAAUUUGUUCUAUGACAUUAAAAACACCUUCGCACAAAGUAUAAUAAAUUUCGGGCAAUGCCUUUAUUACAAACCAAAAAGCGACUAUAUCUCUGCGUUUUUUAUUGAGGCUUAUAUAUAUUAAUAGUAUCAAGCGUUUGGUGCUAUUAGAUUUUCGGUUCAUAGAUAAAGAGAUAUACUGUUAAGAUGAUAGUAGUCCCUCAUUAGAAUAAUAAUAACUUUUUAGGAUUGAGUGUAUGGUUUAUUAAAUAGUAUGAUAUAACAGGAGGAAAAAAUUAAAAGAAUAGAUCUAACGGUGAAAUAUUCGAUAACAAUAAUCGUUUGAUACUAUUGACAGUAUAAUAUCUGAAAUAAUAUAC